RNAcentral lists this ribosomal RNA (429 nucleotides) under Bacteroidota bacterium. RNAcentral's name for it is "Bacteroidetes bacterium partial 16S ribosomal RNA". It matches the Rfam family "Bacterial small subunit ribosomal RNA", at positions 355 to 776 of the family's 1533-position model. The record is from RNAcentral. Lineage: Bacteria; Pseudomonadati; Bacteroidota.
UAGGGAAUCUUCGGCAAUGGGGGGAACCCUGACCGAGCAACGCCGCGUGAGUGAAGAAGGUUUUCGGAUCGUAAAGCUCUGUUGUUAAGGAAGAACGAGUGUGAGAAUGGAAAGUUCAUGCUGUGACGGUACUUAACCAGAAAGGGACGGCUAACUACGUGCCAGCAGCCGCGGUAAUACGUAGGUCCCGAGCGUUGUCCGGAUUUAUUGGGCGUAAAGCGAGCGCAGGCGGUUAGAAAAGUCUGAAGUGAAAGGCGGUGGCUCAACCAUUGUAGGCUUUGGAAACUGUUUAACAUGAGUGCAGAAGGGGAGAGUGGAAUUCCAUGUGUAGCGGUGAAAUGCGUAGAUAUAUGGAGGAACACCGGUGGCGAAAGCGGCUCUCUGGUCUGUAACUGACGCUGAGGCUCGAAAGCGUGGGUAGCAAACAGG